This 819-nucleotide ribosomal RNA is filed under the name uncultured eukaryote. Its description in RNAcentral is "SSU rRNA". It matches the Rfam family "Eukaryotic small subunit ribosomal RNA", at positions 629 to 1426 of the family's 1831-position model. The record is from RNAcentral.
CGGUGUUUAACUGGCGUGAUGUGGGACGUCCUACCGGUGGGCUUAGCCUCGCGAGGGGCGGCCCAACUAAUAUCCCGUCGCGGUGCUCUUUACUGAGUGUCGAGUCGGGCCGGUACGUUUACUUUGAACAAAUUAGAGUGCUUAAAGCAGGCUAUCCUCGCCUGAAUACUGCGUGCAUGGAAUAAUGGAAUAGGACCUCGGUUCUAUUUUGUUGGUUUUCGGAACCCCGAGGUAAUGAUUAAUAGGGACAGAUGGGGGCAUUCGUAUUGCGACGUUAGAGGUGAAAUUCUUGGAUCGUCGCAAGACGGACAGAAGCGAAAGCAUUUGCCAAAAAUGUUUUCAUUAAUCAAGAACGAAAGUUAGAGGUUCGAAGGCGAUCAGAUACCGCCCUAGUUCUAACCAUAAACGAUGCCAGCUAGUGAUCCGCCGAAGUUCCUCCGAUGACUCGGCGGGCAGCUUCCGGGAAACCAAAGCUUUUGGGUUCCGGGGGAAGUAUGGUUGCAAAGCUGAAACUUAAAGGAAUUGACGGAAGGGCACCACCAGGAGUGGAGCCUGCGGCUUAAUUUGACUCAACACGGGAAACCUCACCAGGCCCAGACACCGGAAGGAUUGACAGAUUGAUAGCUCUUUCUUGAUUCGGUGGGUGGUGGUGCAUGGCCGUUCUUAGUUGGUGGAGCGAUUUGUCUGGUUAAUUCCGAUAACGAACGAGACUCUAGCCUGCUAAAUAGGCGUACCUUAUGGUAUCGCGAAGGCCCCCGGCUUCGGCCGGUGGGUUUUUACUACCAACGUACAAACAAAUCUUCUUAGAGGGACAGGCGG